GAUGAAGAACGUAGCGAAAUGCGAUAAGUAAUGCGAAUUGCAGAAUCCGUGAAUCAUCGAAUCUUUGAACGCACAUUGCGCCCGCCAGUAUUCUGGCGGGCAUGCCUGUUCGAGCGUCAUUUCAACCCUCAAGCACAGCUUGGUGUUGGGACUCGCGUUAAUUCGCGUUCCCCAAAUUGAUUGGCGGUCACGUCGAGCUUCCAUAGCGUAGUAGUAAAACCCUCGUUACUGGUAAUCGUCGCGGCCACGCCGUUAAACCCCAACUUCUGAAUGUUGACCUCGGAUCAGGUAGGAAUACCCGCUGAACUUAAGCAUAUCAAUAAGCGGAGGA
RNAcentral lists this unclassified non-coding RNA (331 nucleotides) under soil metagenome. Its description in RNAcentral is "partial contains 5.8S ribosomal RNA, internal transcribed spacer 2, and large subunit ribosomal RNA". The stretch from base 1 to 119 matches the Rfam family "5.8S ribosomal RNA", at positions 35 to 154 of the family's 154-position model. The record is from RNAcentral.